GAGUCAACGUAGCAAUACGUGGCACACGGCUCAGUAACACGUAGUCAACAUAACCAAAGGACGUGGAUAAACUCGGGAAACUGAGGCUAAACCGCGAUAGAUCAAGAUACCUGGAAUGGUUUUUGAUCAAAAUCUAUAUGGCCUUUGGAUUGGACUGCGUCCGAUCAGGCUGUUGGUGAGGUAAUGGCCCACCAAACCUGUAACCGGUACGGGCUCUGAGAGGAGGAGCCCGGAGAUGGGUACUGAGAAAAGGACCCAGGCCCUAUGGGGCGCAGCAGGCGCGAAACCUCUGCAAUAGGCGAAAGCCUGACGGGGUUAUUCUGAGUGGCUUUCGCUAAGAAAGUCUUUUGACACCUCUAAAAAUGGUGUAGAAUAAGGGGUGGGCAAGUCUGGUGUCAGCCGCCGCGGUAAUACCAGCACCCCGAGUGGUCGGGACGAUUAUUGGGCCUAAAGCAUCCGUAGCCGGUUUUACAAGUCCUCCGUUAAAUCCAGCUGCUUAACAGAUGGGCUGCGGAGGAUACUAUAAGACUAGGAGGCAGGAGAGGCAAGCGGUACUCAGUGGGUAGGGGUAAAAUCCGUUGAUCCAUUGAAGACCACCAGUGGCGAAGGCGGCUUGCCAGAAUGCGCUCGACGGUGAGGGAUGAAAGCUGGGGGAGCAAACCGGAUUAGAUACCCGGGUAGUCCCAGCUGUAAACGAUGCAGACUCGGUGAUGGACUAGCUUUAUGCUAGUCCAGUGCCGCAGGGAAGCCGUUAAGUCUGCCGCCUGGGUAGUACGGUCGCAAGACUGAA
This 790-nucleotide ribosomal RNA is filed under the name uncultured archaeon. Its description in RNAcentral is "bacterial SSU rRNA". It matches the Rfam family "Archaeal small subunit ribosomal RNA", at positions 55 to 853 of the family's 1478-position model. The record is from RNAcentral.